This 61-nucleotide transfer RNA is filed under the name Ictidomys tridecemlineatus (thirteen-lined ground squirrel). RNAcentral describes it as "Spermophilus tridecemlineatus (thirteen-lined ground squirrel) tRNA". It matches the Rfam family "tRNA", at positions 6 to 65 of the family's 71-position model. From Rfam's summary of the family: Transfer RNA (tRNA) molecules are approximately 80 nucleotides in length. Their secondary structure includes four short double-helical elements and three loops (D, anti-codon, and T loops). Further hydrogen bonds mediate the characteristic L-shaped molecular structure. tRNAs have two regions of fundamental functional importance: the anti-codon, which is responsible for specific mRNA codon recognition, and the 3' end, to which the tRNAs corresponding amino acid is attached (by aminoacyl-tRNA synthetases). tRNAs cope with the degeneracy of the genetic code in two manners: having more than one tRNA (with a specific anti-codon) for a particular amino acid; and 'wobble' base-pairing, i.e. permitting non-standard base-pairing at the 3rd anti-codon position. Lineage: Eukaryota; Metazoa; Chordata; Mammalia; Rodentia; Sciuridae. The record is from Rfam by way of RNAcentral.
UAUAGCUCAGUGGUAGAGUACUUACCUAGCAUGCAUGAGGCCUUGGGUUUGAUCCCCAGUA